GACGAACGCUGGCGGCGUGCUUAACACAUGCAAGUCGAACGGUGAAGCGCCUUCCUUUUUGGUGGGUGUGGAUGAGUGGCGAACGGGUGAGUAACACGUGAGUAACCUGCCCCCUUCUUCUGGACAACCGCAUGAAAGUGUGGCUAAUACGGGAUAUUCUGGGUCUGUCGCAUGAUGGGUCUGGGAAAGAUAUUGUUUCGGUGGGGGAUGGGCUCGCGGCCUAUCAGCUUGUUGGUGGGGUGAUGGCCUACCAAGGCGGUGACGGGUAGCCGGCCUGAGAGGGUGGACGGUCACACUGGGACUGAGACACGGCCCAGACUCCUACGGGAGGCAGCAGUGGGGAAUAUUGCACAAUGGGCGCAAGCCUGAUGCAGCGACGCCGCGUGAGGGAUGGAGGCCUUCGGGUUGUGAACCUCUUUCGCCAGUGAAGCAGGCCUGCCUCGUUUGUGGGUGGGUUGACGGUAGCUGGAUAAGAAGCGCCGGCUAACUACGUG
Molecule: ribosomal RNA, 494 nt
Filed under: uncultured bacterium
Lineage: Bacteria
Description: partial 16S ribosomal RNA
Rfam family: Bacterial small subunit ribosomal RNA
Source: RNAcentral